AAUAGUUUUAUGUCACAUCAGUUUUUUUAUCCUGAAUUUCAGAAUUUUUAUUCUGAAAAAAAUCAAAUCCAAAUUAAAAUCCUAAAAUUCAGGAUAAGAAUACUGAUGUGGCAUAAAACUAUU
Molecule: non-coding RNA, 123 nt
Organism: Gossypium hirsutum (cotton)
Lineage: Eukaryota; Viridiplantae; Streptophyta; Magnoliopsida; Malvales; Malvaceae
Source: Rfam